UACGAAGGGGGCUAGCGUUGUUCGGAAUUACUGGGCGUAAAGCGCACGUAGGCGGACCAGAAAGUUGGGGGUGAAAUCCCGGGGCUCAACCUCGGAACUGCCUUCAAAACUAUUGGUCUGGAGUUCGAGAGAGGUGAGUGGAAUUCCGAGUGUAGAGGUGAAAUUCGUAGAUAUUCGGAGGAACACCAGUGGCGAAGGCGGCUCACUGGCUCGAUACUGACGCUGAGGUGCGAAAGCGUGGGGAGCAAACAGG
Molecule: ribosomal RNA, 253 nt
Filed under: uncultured Paracoccus sp.
Lineage: Bacteria; Pseudomonadati; Pseudomonadota; Alphaproteobacteria; Rhodobacterales; Paracoccaceae
Description: partial 16S ribosomal RNA
Rfam family: Bacterial small subunit ribosomal RNA
Source: RNAcentral